CAGGAUUAGUAUGUGCAUAGACACAGAAUAAUGUGCAGACACACAAAUCACUGCUUUCCUAUGGACUUCUUCUUCUGGCACUGAUUUUGUUGCUGUUGUUGGACACAUGCAUUAUAAAUUAAAGACAGAAAAGGCCUCUCUGCAUUUGAUCUUGUAUGCUGAAUACUGAGAAAGAUACUUCUGCAUGAAACAGGAUUUCUAUUGAACAUUCGUGGAAAAAUGCUGUAUGCAUCACGCCCGGUUCAAGGAGAAAGUGAUGUUCUAAACAGAUGACACCCAGUUCCUGGUGCAAAGGGUACUCCUCUGACUGAAAGAUAUCAGCUGAAAGGAAAUAAUUCAUCCUGGAUGACAAAAUGGUUUAUAAAUUGCAUCCUAAUAAAACAUUGCUCCAAACUCACAAAUUGCAGAGAUUGAAGUGACCCUGUAUGCACAGUGAUUUGCAUGAUAUUCAUUGUGUUAAGGUUGAAAACAACAUUAACAUCUUUACUUUAAAACGAACAGAUUUAUUCUAAAUUGCACUAAUAAAAUGUAUUGUUAGCAAACAAAGGUCAGUGGAAACCAUAGCACACAGAAUAUGCAGAAAAAUAACAGAGUUUGAGAAAGAAAAAGAUCAAAUCUACUGGCAUAGCACAAGUGGCUCAUCAGAACAUCAUUCUAACAAAUGAAAUCUAAACAAAUGAAAUUAUAUAACCAAAAGCAUAGUCAUCUAUUAUGCUCAGUAUUAAAGCAAAACAGUACUUAAGGAAAGCGAUGCAGAACAAAAUUAUAUUAGUUUCCUGGAUCACCUUCAAUGAUAUGAAAUUUAAAUUAUGAUGUUUCUGUGCUCAUCCUCUUGUCUUCUUGCAAAUUUUAAACCUGUAAUUUGAAUGCAAAAAUUCUACCAAAUUAAAAUACAAUUGCUACCUCUUCUUUACAGCAUGAUCAUCUAAUUCUGAUGCCUUUGCAUCUUAUUUUGUUGUUUUUAGAACUGACCUGCAAUGUUAAUAAUUCAAGAAAGACUGAGACUCCAAGGCAUUUUGUUAUGACACAGCUUUGGUCUUAGCUAUUGCAUCCAGAAUUUGUAAUAGAUUUUUAAGCCUCUGUGUCGUAAGGAAAAUAUGACCCUCUCACCAAUUAAAACACACACACACACUCUCAGAAUCACACAAAUAGACAAGGAGUCAAAGACAACAUAUGAUUCUAUGAAUAAUAAGUUAAAUAUUCUGGAUAUUUACAUAUUUACAGCCAUAUACAUACAGUUAAAACUGCUCUCUAUAAGGAAUCCUAAACUGUCCCUAAAAAUAUCAUCCAAAGAUACCAUCAACAGCACAUUUAUCAAAUGAAGAUAUUUUGUGCAGAUUAUCUGGAUGUACAAAGUUCUUGUAGCUAGUAUACUGAAUAAAUGAACUUUCGGGGGGGGGGGGGGGAGGACAUUCAGUGAGCCAGUUUUUCCUCUACCGGUGAAGCAGUAAAAAGCUAGAUGGCUGUUUUUCUCUGUCUGUCUCAAAUGUAUUUAUCCUACUCUUGCACUUAUGUAAACAUCCUGCAUAUUAAUGUUUACUUUUAAACACAGUCCUUAAAAAGGCUUGAUUUAAGUACCCAACAUAAGCUUGCAUUGCACACUCGUGGAGAAAAGAAUAGAGUGAAAACAGAACACGUAAGGAAGUCAAUGCAUGAACAGUCUACAAAACGCACUGUAAAAUCAGAGAUACAGUGGCAUUUUGAAAAUAGUAGAUCUCUGUUAGGGUAAUCAAUUUAAACUCAAUGAUAAUCAUAUAAAAUAUGUGUGAAAGACAAAACUGCUUUUCUCUUUUGUCUCAAAGCUUGCUUCGUGAGGCCUUUCUGGUGAUAAGACUAACUGAUAACUGCAAAUUAUCUAGGGGGGCGAGUGGUGGGUGUCACUGUGCCACAGUACUUCUGCUCAUGAUUGUAAAGAUAAGCAGAAGUGGGACAAGCAGUCUUUUUUG
Molecule: long non-coding RNA, 1946 nt
Filed under: Gallus gallus (chicken)
Lineage: Eukaryota; Metazoa; Chordata; Aves; Galliformes; Phasianidae
Description: lncRNA (ENSGALG00010016309.1)
Source: RNAcentral